RNAcentral lists this ribosomal RNA (499 nucleotides) under uncultured bacterium. Its description in RNAcentral is "bacterial SSU rRNA". It matches the Rfam family "Bacterial small subunit ribosomal RNA", at positions 28 to 516 of the family's 1533-position model. The record is from RNAcentral.
GAUGAACGCUAGCGAUAGGCCUAACACAUGCAAGUCGAGGGGCAGCACAUGAGUAGCAAUACGAUGGUGGCGACCGGCGCACGGGUGAGUAACACGUAUGCAACCUACCUCUAACAGGGGGAUAACCCGUUGAAAGACGGACUAAUACCCCAUAAUACAGGGGCUCCGCAUGGAGAUAUUUGUUAAAGAUUUUAUCGGUUAGAGAUGGGCAUGCGUUCCAUUAGCUAGUUGGUGAGGUAACGGCUCACCAAGGCGACGAUGGAUAGGGGAACUGAGAGGUUUAUCCCCCACACUGGAACUGAGACACGGUCCAGACUCCUACGGGAGGCAGCAGUGAGGAAUAUUGGUCAAUGGAGGCAACUCUGAACCAGCCAAGUCGCGUGAAGGAUGAAGGUCUUAUGGAUUGUAAACUUCUUUUGCAGGGGAAUAAAGUAGCGGUACGUGUACCGUUUUGCAUGUACCCUGCGAAUAAGGAUCGGCUAACUCCGUGCCAGCAGCC